This 1754-nucleotide ribosomal RNA is filed under the name Kickxella alabastrina. Its description in RNAcentral is "SSU rRNA". It matches the Rfam family "Eukaryotic small subunit ribosomal RNA". Lineage: Eukaryota; Fungi; Kickxellomycota; Kickxellomycetes; Kickxellales; Kickxellaceae. The record is from RNAcentral.
CAAAGAUUAAGCCAUGCAUGUCUAAGUAUAAGCAAGUCUAUACAGUGAAACUGCGAAUGGCUCAUUAUAUCAGUUAUAAUUUAUUUGACUGUACCCGCUUUACUACUUGGAUAUCCGUGGUAAUUCUAGAGCUAAUACAUGCGCGACAGGCCCGACUUUUCGGAAGGGCUGCAUUUAUUAGAUAUAAGGCCGGCUUGCCCUCUUCGGGGGGCAACAUUGGUGAAUCAUAAUAACUUGCGAAUCGUUGGCCGUACGGCUACGAUGGGUCAUUCAAAUUUCUGCCCUAUCAGCUUUCGAUGGUACGGUAGUGGCCUACCAUGGCUUUAACGGGUAACGGGGAAUCAGGGUUUGAUUCCGGAGAGGGAGCCUGAGAAACGGCUACCACUUCUAAGGAAGGCAGCAGGCGCGCAAAUUACCCAAUGCUAACGCAGCGAGGUAGUGACAAUAAAUAACAAUCUAGGGCCCUUGUGGUCUUGGAAUUGCAAUGAGUCAACGUAAACACCUUAACGAGUAACAAUUGGAGGGCAAGUCUGGUGCCAGCAGCCGCGGUAAUUCCAGCUCCAAUAGUGUAUAUUAAAGUUGCUGCAGUUAAAACGCUCGUAGUCGGAGUUUGGGGUAGUUGGGCCUGGGCUGCCGGCGUUGCUUUCGGGCGGCGCUCGGCAUGCCUUUUAUUGGCCUGCUCCCCAGUUUAUUCUGGAGUAGGUGGUUGGACUCGUCUGGCCAUCCGUCUCCAGACUUUUACCUUAGAAAAUUAGAGUGUUCAAAGCAGGCAACCGCUUGAAUAUGUUAGCAUGGAAUAAUGGAAUAGGACUCUGGUCUUGUUUUGUUGGCUUUACGAGGCCGGGGUAAUGAUUAAUAGGAACAGUUGGGGGCAUUUGAAUUGGGCGGUUAGAGGUGAAAUUCUUGGAUCCGCCCAAGUCAGACUAGUGCGAAAGCAUUUGCCCAGCAUGUGUCCAUUGAUCAAGAACGAAAGUUAGGGGAUCGAAGACGAUUAGAUACCGUCGUAGUCUUAACCAUAAACGAUGCCGACUGGGGAUGGGGCCUGGCUUGCGGGCCGGCUCUGGACUCAAUGAGAAAUCAAAGUGUUUGGGUUCCGGGGGGAGUAUGGUCGCAAGGCUGAAACUUAAAGGAAUUGACGGAAGGGCACCACCAGAAGUGGAGCCUGCGGCUUAAUUUGACUCAACACGGGGAAACUCACCAGGUCCAGACAUAGUGAGGAUUGACAGAUUGAUAGCUCUUUCUUGAUUCUAUGGGUGUGGUGCAUGGCCGUUCUUAGUUCGUGGAUUCAUUUGUCUGGUUAAUUCCGAUAACGAACGAGACCUUAGCCUGCUAAAUAAAACCGGCCAGUUUGACUGGUUUGGUUUUUCUUAGAGGGACUGCUAGUGCUAAGCUAGCGGAAGUUUGAGGCAAUAACAGGUCUGUGAUGCCCUUAGAUGUUCUGGGCCGCACGCGCGCUACACUGAUGAGGCCAGCGAGUUUUUUUCCUUGCCUGAGAAGGCCGGGUAAUCUGUCAACCCUCAUCGUGCUGGGGAUAGUCCUUUGCAAUUUUCGGACUUGAACGAGGAACUUCUAGUAAUCGCAAGUCAUCAGCUUGCGAUGAUUACGUCCCUGCCCUUUGUACACACCGCCCGUCGCUACUACCGAUUGAAUGGCUUAGUGAGUCCUCUGGAUCUGCGGGACACGCCCUCACCGGUUGUCUUGCUUGGAGAAAGUUGGCCAAACUUGGUCAUUUAGAGGAAGUAAAAGUCGUAACA